Molecule: RNA transcript, 8377 nt
Organism: Sorex araneus (European shrew)
Lineage: Eukaryota; Metazoa; Chordata; Mammalia; Eulipotyphla; Soricidae
Gene name: zinc finger protein 134-like
Exons: 4
Source: RefSeq, a predicted model, not a curated record
UAAGGGGAAGGGGACCCAGGUGAAGGAACGGAUCAUUAUACAUCUGAAACUAAAUCAUGAAGAACUUUGUAACUUGAUAAUUCACAGUGAUUUGAUGUUUUAAAGAAAAAACCAUUUUUUCUCAUUGAGUUUAUGAUAUCUAAAUGCCAUGUAAUAAAUGCUUUCUCAGUAUUACAAUUUGGGUGGGAAUGGUAGUACUGUUAUCAGAGAGGAGUAUUAAAGUUAAGUUAAAUUAGAUCACUGUAUCACUGUCAUCCCGUUGCUCAUCGAUUUGCUUGAGCGAGCACCAGCAAUGUCUCCAUUGUGAGACUUGUUACUGUUUUUUGGCAUAUCAAAUACGUCACAGGUAGCUUGCCAGGCUCUGCCAUGCGGGCAGGAUACUCUCAGUAGCUUGCCAGGCUCUCCGAGAGGGAUGGAGGAAUCAAAUCCAGGUCAGCCUCAUGCAAGGCAAACACCCUACCUGCUGUGCUAUCGCUCUAGCCCCAGUUAAAUUAGAUGGCACUUUUAAAUAUGUUGCAUAUAUUAUGGUCUAUGCAACUUUCUCUGGUAUUACAUACUUCUAAUGUCUAGUAGAUUUUGCUUUUCUUUACCUAAAAGUCAUCUAAGUUUUGUUCUUUAGUGGGCGAGGGGACAUCCAUCAAUGUUAAGUGGUACUCCGGGCUUUGCACUCAUGAAUCAACUUAUGGCAGUGCUCAGGGACCACAUGGGAUAUCAGGGAUCGAAUUUGGACAGAUGCAUACAAGGCAAGCACCUUACCCCCCAUACUAUCCCUCCAACUCCAUAAGUUUUGUCUUUUUUUACUUUUGUUUGGGGCCACACUUAUGGGUGCUCAAGGCUUACUCUUCAUUCUGUGCUCAUGAAUCACUCCUAUGAGCACAGCAGGACCCAGGGUAAGGUAAGUGAUCUACCUGCUCUGUCAUCUCUCUGGCCCUGAGUUUUGUGUUAUUUUUGUCAAAAUAUGUUAAUAAGCUUAUUUGUGUCUGUGUGUACUAGUACCAGUAGAUUUUGCUAUACAAUGAUACAUGAUAGCCUUUGCAGACUUUUUGUAUUAUAUACAUCAUAUCCCUAAGCUUACUGUUUUGUUUGUUUUGGAUUUGUGGUGGUCUCCCCCAAGCAGUGCCCAGGAAGCUCAGGAGCUCCUCCAUGUUAUUCUCAGCCACCUGGGCUGCUGUUGUGAUGUUGGAGCCUAAGAAUGUGAUGGUGUUCAGCUCUUCAGUGCUGGCUGAAUGCCCCGUGUCCCCUCUCUGCAUCCCACGGGCGCUGUAGUGAAGUGUUCGUAUGGGAACUGAUGGUCCCCAUGCUGCCAGGAGAUGGUCUAGACUUGCCCCUCUUUCCUCACUGGGGACACUUUCCAUAACGAAUCCCAUCUGGGAUACCCACAGCCAUGUCCUUGUCUGCUCUUAUUUAGAUCUUCCUUGUGCUUCUUUUCAGGUGUGGGUUUGUGUGUGCAUUUCUCCCUCUGGGUUUUAAAGCCCCUUUGUUUUUUCUUUUGAGUGGGGCCCUCCCAAACUGUCCUUGGGGACUAUCUGGUGCUGAGGGUCAAGCUCAAGCAGAGCCCCUUUCUUUAUCUGACUGGGCAGUCAGGCUGACACACAUUCUCAUUGCUCUUUCAUUUUCCUUUUCUUUUUUUCCUUUUUGGGUCACACCUGGCGAUGCACAGGGGUUACUCCUGGCUUUGCACUCAGGGGACCAUAUGGGAUGCUGGGAAUUGAACCCAGGUUGGCUAUAACUCCAACCUCUUACCUUUUUUUUACAUUUAUGUUUUGGUUCUUGGAUCACACCUGGUGGUGCUCAGGGCUUACUUGUAGCUCUGCACUCGGUGAACGCUCCUGGCAGGGUUUGGAGGACAAUAUGGGAUGACAGGGAUUGAACCCAGGUUUACCACAUGCAAGGCAAAUGCCUUCCUUACCUGCUGUACUACUGCUCUGGCCCCUCAUUUUACUUUAAAUUUUAAGAAUUUUUAGUUCUUCUCCUGGUCUCACAAAAAUCCACAUAACUUUGUGCACUUUUCUCAACCAUGGUGACUCAGCAGAAGUUAGAGCCUGGGAUUUGGGGACCAUAUGGGAUCCAGGGAUCAAAACCAAAGAGUUGACUCUGCAUGGCAAGCACCCUACCUGCUGUACUAUCUCACCAGCCCCAGAACUGAAAGUUUUAUUUGUUUAUUUGUUUGUUUUGGGUCAGAUCCAGUAGUGCUCAGGGAUUCCUCCUGGUGGUACUCUGGGAACUCUGUGGUGCUGGAGAUUGAACCCAAGUGCCUUGCCCAUUAUACUGUCUCCAUGGCCUCUCAAAUUACUAUUAUUAUGUAAUUGAUUGCUCAGAGAACUUUGAAGAUACUGUAAUAGGACAAAUUUCUAAGUUUACAGAAUUAAAAAUCAUUUCUUAUAUUGAAAAUACAUAGAAAUUUUCAUUGUUUCUUUUUGGUUUUGGACAUGGCACACCAGCAGUGAUGGGGAUCACUCCUGAGUCAGGGUGCCGGAAAUUGAACCUAGACUGGCCAUAUUACAUGCAAAACAAAAACGCCUUACCACUUAUUGUUCCUCCAGAUCCACAUAGAACUUUAUAAAAAUUAAUUUAUUUUUAGUGUUUUGGUCAUACCUAGCAGUGGUCAGGGUUAACUCCUGGCUUUGUGCUCAGGGAUCACUCCUGACAGGCUCAAGGGACCAUAUGUGAUGCCAGGGAUUGAACUGGGUUGACUGCAUGCAAGGCAAGUGCCCUUCCCAUUGUACUAUUGGUCCAGCUCCUCCCCCCUCCCCCCCUGCCCCAUGCCCCAGUCUUUGAAACAUAAUUAGUCUCGUUUCUUUCUGGCAGAAGGAUAAUCACCUGUGAAGAUUUUAGUCAGCCCCAAGUGCUAGGGAGAAAUUCUGAGUGCUGCUAGGGUAGAGAGGUGAGGAAAGCAACAUGGCCACGAAGCCAAAAGGAAGGUGCUGGAGAAUUCUGGGGAGGCAUCAGACAGGCCACCAAUAUAAGUAGAUAUGUGAAUAUAUUGAAUGUGUUUAUUCAGUAUGAAUGUUUUAAUAUAGUAAAACAACGGGAUUCAAAAUGAGGGUGACUGUCAGUGAUCUUUACUUAAUUUAGAAUCUUUUAUUUAAAAUGCACUUGGGUUGGGCCAGAGCGAUAUGCUUUGCAUGCAGCCAACCCAGGUUCAAUCCCUGGCAUCCCAUAUGGUCCCCCGAGCACUGCCAGGAGUGAUUUCUGAGUGCAGGGCCAGGAGUGACCCCUGAGCAUUGCCACCUGUGACCCAAACAGUCAAAAAAAAAUGCAGUUGGGUUGAAGUGAUACAGCAGGUAGGGUGUUUGCCUUUACAUGCCCAACCAGUGUUCAAUCCCAGCAUCCCAUGUAGUCCCCUGAUCCCUUAGUGCAGAGCCAGGAGUAAGCCCUGAGCACUGCUGGAUAUAGCCCCUUUCCCCCCAGUAUGCGUCUGAGCCAGGUCAGCAUUACCGAGGCAAAACCCUGGACUCUCAAGCAUAGUAGAUGCAGCUGAGGAGAGCAGGCAUCCCGCACUGCAGCAUGCAGCCAUGGCGUUCUCAGACCCCUGCAGUUUAUUGCCUGCCCAGUCAGCCAAGAAUCACCGGUGGGGUAUUGAGGUCUUGGAGGAAUAAAUGCAUAUAUACAUAACCCAUACCUGUUUACAUGCAUGUGUAAAAUGGACUUAAGCAGUGAAUAUAUUAAUAUCAAUAAUACACCAAAAUAUUACUUAUUCCCAACUUAGUUGUAUUUUUAUUUGAAUCUUUGAUCUUUUACCAUAUUAAAAUUUCCCCCCCAUAUUAAAAUUUUUUCCUAACAAAUUCUGUAAAGCAAUCUCCCCUUUAUGUUUCAUUUUCAUUUCACCUGUAUUAAAAUAAGUGUGUACUUUCACAUUCCUUUUUUUUUCCCUUUUGAGGCAGGUUGCCAUAUGCAGUGGUACUAGGACUUUUGGGAUUGGAUGCCCUAUCAGUGGAGAAACAAAAAACAUUGGACUCUGUAAACUGCAGCUCAGGGGGCCUACUGCCCAUGUCAACAGCUUUGGGAAGGACCUGGGGCCUGGGGUGUAGCUCAGAGGGUAGAAUAGCAAGGCCAGGAAGGAUCCCUGGCAUUGCAGGAGCAGGGCCUCACCCUUGGGCCCUAGUGCUGAGCCCUGCCCAGUUAUCAGAUUACCUGGAGUCACCCCCAUGUCUGCAAAGUGGACAGGAAAAUUCCCUGUAGAAGUUCAGGGACCGAGCUGCAAAGGUCCACAGGUGCCUCAGGCAGCAGGUAGAUUCUUCUCUGGAAUCAAGUUCCCUGAGGUACAGUGACUGGCUGGAGUGCUCAGAGCAGGCCGAGGGUCAAGUUGGAGUUUCCUCCUAGCUCAGGGCCUGCUCCAGGGCCCUCUUCUCUUCCUCCCUGGACUCUGGAAGAAACUACAUUUCCCAGAGGGCAGUACAGGGACAUGAUACCCAGAAGCCAAGGAGAUGGGCUAUGGGGAGAGAAAGUGUGAUAUCUACCAGACAGAUGAGGUUGGACGCUAGAGGAACUUCUCUUAGAUCCAUCCCUCCAUAACUUUGUUGCAGGGACAAGAAAGAGUGAGGAGAAAGAUUGGGAUGGAGGUGACAUUCAGCUUGCGUACAAGCUGACACCUGAGUGGUGACAUUUUUCUGUAUGGAGUGAGGGUUCCAGGCUGAAGGUCUUGAGGUUCACAGCUUACCUGUCCCCUGGAUGGAGCAAUUUUGUCUUCCCAUAUCUUAGCAUAUUUGGUUCUGGCCCCACCAACCCCGAUUCAAACAUGAAGCGUGCAAUCAGUCACUACUUCUCUGUUGUUUUGAUUUUUCAGCCACACCGAGUCCUGCUCAAGCCUUCUCCUAGCUCUACUCAGGCCACUGUAUAUAGUGCUGGGGGUUGAAUCUGCAAGGCAAGGGAUUUAUCCCCAUGCUCUCUCUCUGAAGCCAGAAAAACACAGCAAAGAUGGAAUUAUUUUUGGAGUGGUCCUGGAACAAUUUAUGAUCAACAGGCACUGCAGUGACAAGUCCUUUUUAAAGGAGAAAUGGGAAUCAAGUAGAAGAAACAUGGAGAAAUUCACGGAGGAGCUGGUGAUCAUUUCUUUAAGCCCACUGCCUUGAAUAUGCCCUUACAAGAAGUCAUAGUACAUCUAAGGCAACAGUUGUCAGUGGGAACCCCAACAGUGAAGAACAUGAGGACACCCUCCUGGACUUCCCAAGACUCCUCACUGGAGGCAGAAGUAGGUCCUUCAGCAACAAGACCAACCUGUGCACUCAUGAGAGAAUCCACACAGGAGAGAAGCCCUACAUAUGUGUGCUCCGUCAGAGAUGCUUCCGCCAGUCCUCUACCCAUCACCGCAGCCUGAGGACUCACCAGAGACUGCCUUCAAAAGUGGUCCCCUGCCAUAGACUUUCUCAUCCACACAUGGCUCUGAGGUGACCAGCCACAGUCUCUCCUUUUUUUCAAGCAUCCGUUCCUGCUGGUUCAUAGAAGCCAGUAGAAUUAAAUCAAAUGACAGAAGUGGCAGCUCAGUGUCCAGCAUGCCACACCAUUAUGAGUAGCAGCAGUGACCUCUUGCAUUGUGUUCCUAACUGCCUGAUUUGUAAACUGCACUUAUCACAGCUGCCUAUUUCUCGAAACAACUUAAUGUAUGUGGGCCCAGAGUCCACUGCAAGUCUAGAACAUUCACUUUACUGAUUGGCAGGGAACACUAGCUUCCUUCAUGGGAGCCAUUAAAUCCUAAAAAAAAAAAAGAAUCUUCUUGGCUUUAGUUUUCCCACUGUGACUUACCUUGUUAUUUAUUGUUUGUGAUAUCCACCACAUUUUCCAGGAUCUGUUCACCUUUCUUCAGUCUUGUUUCUAUUUUUCAUACUUAGUGAACUUUGUUUUAGGCCAAGCCUCAAGGCUUAGGAACUCUUUGCUCAAGGAACACUCCUGGCAGGGCUUGAGGGAUCAUAUGCAGUGCCAGGUGUUGGCCUCAUGCAAGGCAGCUACCCUCCCACUGUGCUGUUAAGUCCUGGGAUGGGAAUUUUAACAAGUAUCAUACUGGGGAGUGGGGAGUGGAAGUGACAGCACCAAAUGACCCCAGACUGCUCCUUACUCCAGGUGGUCAGUCCAGGUCUUUUAGCCUUCUCUCCAGUUUUCUCACAGAUUUUAACUGGUAAAUAUGAAUGAGCACAGGGCCAGAGCAAUAGUACAUUGUUAGGGCAUUUGCCUUGCAUGCAGCCAACCUGGGUUUCAAUACCCGGCAUCCCAGUGGUCCCCCAAGCACUGCCAGAAGUAAUUACUGAGUGUAAAGUCAGGAGUAACCCCUGAGUAUUGCUGGGUGUGACCCAAAAAGUGGGGGAAAAAAUGCACACCUUUAUAAAGAAUUCAAGACGAUUACAUUUCCUAAAACCAAAACCCUGCACACACUUCCCCAUCCACAUUCUUUUAAUUUGCCAUUGGUGACUAUUUCCAGACUCCAUGCUGGUCCUGCAAUGUAAGUUCAAAGUGUGGGUGUGUUUGGUGGCCAAGAACAAAGCCAGCAAUGGAGGGAAGGAGGGAGGGGAAGGAGGGAAGUAAGGGGGAGCAGGGCUACAGGCUGGCUGGUAAUCAGUGGCCAUUUAUUUCAUUUCACAGCAUUAAUUAGUUAUAUAGAAAUUGUGAAGGUUGGAGGUACACAUAGGUGGGGUUGAAGAUUAUAACAACAAACAGAUGUGAAGUCCCUCCUUAGAGUGAAUUUCUUUUAGGGGAUUAACGCAGGGACAAAAUCUCAUUGGGGGUUCAGCACCCUAGGUUACUAGGAGAUCCGCUCAAGGGCAGGAUUCCAUCUAAGGGUGUAUUGCUUUCUCCUUUACUUAGCAAUCCAUUUUAACUAUCCCCUUACUGCACCGUAGCACUGUUGUCCCGUUGUUCGUCUAUUUGCUCGAGCAGGCACCAGUAACGUCUCCAUUGUGAGACUUGUUACUGUUUUUGGCAUAUCAAAUACGCCACGGGUAGCUUGCCAGGCUCUCCAAGAGGGAUGGAGUAAUCAAACCCGGGUUGGCGGCGUGCAAGGCAAAUAAAUGCCCUACCCACUAUAUUAUUCAGUCCUAAUCCAUUUUAUCAAUCAUAUUUACUAAUAUUUCUAGUCAUUUUGUAUGAACACAGUAAGAUAUAUUAAGUUUAAAGAGUGGCUCUUCCUGGGGAAAUCUCAUUACAUAUCCCAGACUAGUCCUCAGGCCAGGUUAGUCUUUUCUAACCCCAGCAGGGUCUGUCAGUUACUUUUUUGGUCAUGGCAGACUUUGUUCCAUGAAUGUGCUCUUAACUUACUAUAUUUCUUAAUGGUGCUUAGCUUGUCCCUUUUUGACAGGGUAGCUUACUGCUUGCCCUGGGUCCAUACAAGUCCCUCAGUGGGACCCUCCUUUUGCGAGUGUUAGGAACUAAGAGCAACAGAGGCUUAAGUCAAGUAAGUAUGAUGGAUGUCGAGGAGUAAGUAUUAUUCAGGGUCAGUUAAUUCACAUGUUACCAAAGCAUAGCAUCAACUCUUCCUGUGUCUAUCCAAAAUGGACAUUGCUAAACUAUGCAAAGGAAAUAAAAGAAAGAAAAGCUAUAUAGGACUAUUAGUGCCUGAUGGAAUUGGGUGUGCCUCAGGAGCAUGGUGGUGGGAGUAACUCAGUAAACAAACUCCCUGCGGGAGGAGCAAGGACAGAAUCAUGAAAUUCGUUGAUCAUCGAUUUUCGAGCAGGCUCAGUAACCUCUCCAUUUGUCCUAUCGCUGAGAUUUUAGAAGCCUCUCUCCACUCGGCCUUCCCAACAAUGCUACAUUGGAGGCUCUGAGUGAGAUCCAGUUUGUUACUGGCUUUAGCAUAUGAAUACACCAUGGGAAGCUUGCAAGGCUGUCCCGUGUGGGCAGGAAUCCCUCAGUAGCUUCAGUAGCUUCUCAGUAGCUUCCAGGGGGAGAAGUAGGUCAUAAGAUAUCUCUCGGCCACUUCGUGGCCUGGCGCUUCUGGGAGCUUGCUUUUAAGUCUCUGGAUAUUGGCCGUUGAUGGGAUUACACGCACCUGGGUUCCUGUGCCGAAUACCUUCAUGCGUGAGGCUUAUCCGUGUGGAGAGGGGCCUUGAGCAUGGACAAACCAGUGUUGUUCAACACAGCAUGGCUCAGGGUUGCCCCUCUUGAGAUAUGGAUGGCAGUGACUGUGAUUAGGGCCCCCACCAAGUCAUAGUGGGCAUUGGGAGCACCUAGACCAGGCCCUUAUCCCAGACUGAACUGCAUGUGGUUGGGAUGGGCCAAGAGGCAGCCCUGUAGCAUAAUGUGGUAAGUUGCAAAUUUCUUGAGCUAGUGAAGUCCUUCAGCAGUGGGAAGGACAGAAAUGCCUUCCUAGCUGCCUUGGGCCCUCAUUGGCACCAGACUUUUCCAUUCAUGAAAAGCUACAGAGUAUCUUCAAAUGUAAGGAGUCCAUAAU